UACGUAGGGGGCAAGCGUUGUCCGGAUUCAUUGGGCGUAAAGAGCGUGUAGGCGGCCUGAAAGGUCAGCUGUGAAAACUCGAGGCUCAACCUCGAGACGUCGGUUGAAACCAUCUGGCUAGAGUCCGGAAGAGGAGUGUGGAAUUCCGGGUGUAGCGGUGGAAUGCGUAGAGAUCCGGAAGAACACCGGUGGCGAAGGCGGCCUGCUGGGCAGUAGCUGACACUGAGGCGCGACAGCGUGGGGAGCAAACAGG
RNAcentral lists this ribosomal RNA (253 nucleotides) under uncultured bacterium. RNAcentral's name for it is "partial 16S ribosomal RNA". It matches the Rfam family "Bacterial small subunit ribosomal RNA", at positions 524 to 776 of the family's 1533-position model. The record is from RNAcentral.